CCUACGGGAGGCAGCAGUGGGGAAUAUUGGGCAAUGGGGGGAACCCUGAUGCAGCGACGCCGCGUGAGUGAAGAAGUAUUUCGGUAUGUAAAGCUCUAUCAGCAGGGAAGAAAGAAAUGACGGUACCUGACUAAGAAGCUCCGGCUAACUACGUGCCAGCCGCCGCGGUAAUACGUAGGGGGCAAGCGUUAUCCGGAUUUACUGGGGGUAAAGGGCGCGUAGACGGGGCAGCAAGUCUGAGGUGAAAGGUCGGGGCUCAACCCCGGGACUGCAUUGGAAACUGUUGAACUGGAGUAUAGGAGAGGUAAGCGGAAUUCCUAGUGUAGGGGUGAAAUGCGUAGAUAUUAGGAGGAACACCAGUGGCGAAGGCGGCUUACUGGAACGUAACUGACGUUGAGGCACGAAAGCGUGGGGAGCAAACAGGAUUAGAUACCCUAGUAGUC
This 443-nucleotide ribosomal RNA is filed under the name uncultured bacterium. Its description in RNAcentral is "partial 16S ribosomal RNA". It matches the Rfam family "Bacterial small subunit ribosomal RNA", at positions 338 to 795 of the family's 1533-position model. The record is from RNAcentral.